Molecule: long non-coding RNA, 904 nt
Filed under: Citrus sinensis (sweet orange)
Lineage: Eukaryota; Viridiplantae; Streptophyta; Magnoliopsida; Sapindales; Rutaceae
Description: long non-coding RNA (CSIN_LNC005690)
Source: RNAcentral
AAAAAAAAAGGUGUCAAAAUCUACAUACAUUAAGGACUAUCACAUAGUCCAAACUCUGAAAAAGAAGAUUUGGAGAAAUGAAAAACGCUAACAGCACCUCUAAAACAAGUUAUACUUCUUUUGUUUUUUCUUGCAUCUCAGACACCAAUAACAAAGACAAAAGAUACGGAAUCCAACUCAUUUGGAUCCAAAUUAUUAAAAGCUGAAAAGGGCAAUAACGUUUUGUAAUGUAAAAGAAAACCCAAAAUCAUUUUCUUGAAUGGUGCCGCAAAACGGCUCCUUUAUUAGUGUUUCGUUACCUUUUGGAUCAAAGAUGAAUGAGGGCGAUUUACUUCUCUCUCUUGGUCUGUAGUCUUUUGUGUCUAAAACUUCUAAUAUAAUAACCAAACCAAAAUAGUUUCAAAAUGACAGUGCGUCACCGCUUACGAUGAAUUUUAAAAAAGAAAUUUUUUUUUUAAUAUUUUGACGGAAAAUGCUUAGUGUUACAGGCUUAACAAUGGGGUGAAGGGUAGUUUCGGUAUUGUGUUGUGAACGGCAGUGCGUAGGCAAGGUGAGCCGUGAGGAGCUGAUUUGUCGACAAUAUUCAGUGACAAAAAAUGCAGCACUGAUUUGGCAGCAUCGCAAUCACUAAAUAAAUUGUUCAGCUUUUUACUAUUAUUAAUAUAUUAUGAUUGAUAAUUGUUUAUUAUUAUUAUUUUGAAGAAAGUUUCGGUUUUACUUUUGAAGAAAGGCAAACAGAAAGUGGAAGUAAUGAUGUGUUUUGUAAAGAAAAGAUUUUCAAUUUCGCUAUAAAAAUUAGAGUUUAUUUUAAGAAAAAUAUUUUAGAAAGUUUUUCAAUUACGUUUGCAAGUAUUAUGGACAAUUUAUUUAUAUUAAAAUCAAGGUACCGAGUAUAAAAAAAAAA